This 376-nucleotide ribosomal RNA is filed under the name uncultured bacterium. RNAcentral describes it as "bacterial SSU rRNA". It matches the Rfam family "Bacterial small subunit ribosomal RNA", at positions 524 to 898 of the family's 1533-position model. The record is from RNAcentral.
UACGUAGGUGGCAAGCGUUGUCCGGAUUUAUUGGGCGUAAAGCGAGCGCAGGCGGAAGAAUAAGUCUGAUGUGAAAGCCCUCGGCUUAACCGAGGAACUGCAUCGGAAACUGUUUUUCUUGAGUGCAGAAGAGGAGAGUGGAACUCCAUGUGUAGCGGUGGAAUGCGUAGAUAUAUGGAAGAACACCAGUGGCGAAGGCGGCUCUCUGGUCUGCAACUGACGCUGAGGCUCGAAAGCAUGGGUAGCGAACAGGAUUAGAUACCCUGGUAGUCCAUGCCGUAAACGAUGAGUGCUAAGUGUUGGGAGGUUUCCGCCUCUCAGUGCUGCAGCUAACGCAUUAAGCACUCCGCCUGGGGAGUACGACCGCAAGGUUGAA